UUUACGGAGAGUUUGAUCCUGGCUCAGGAUGAACGCUGGCGGCGUGCUUAACACAUGCAAGUCGAACGGUGAAAGCGGAGCUUGCUCUGCUGGAUCAGUGGCGAACGGGUGAGUAACACGUGAGCAAUCUGCCCUUGACUCUGGGAUAAGCGCUGGAAACGGCGUCUAAUACUGGAUACGAACCGUGGAGGCAUCUUCAACGGUUGGAAAGAUUUUUUGGUCAGGGAUGAGCUCGCGGCCUAUCAGCUUGUUGGUGAGGUAAUGGCUCACCAAGGCGUCGACGGGUAGCCGGCCUGAGAGGGUGACCGGCCACACUGGGACUGAGACACGGCCCAGACUCCUACGGGAGGCAGCAGUGGGGAAUAUUGCACAAUGGGCGCAAGCCUGAUGCAGCAACGCCGCGUGAGGGAUGACGGCCUUCGGGUUGUAAACCUCUUUUAGCAGGGAAGAAGCGAAAGUGACGGUACCUGCAGAAAAAGCGCCGGCUAACUACGUGCCAGCAGCCGCGGUAAUACGUAGGGCGCAAGCGUUAUCCGGAAUUAUUGGGCGUAAAGAGCUCGUAGGCGGUUUGUCGCGUCUGCUGUGAAAUCCCGAGGCUCAACUUCGGGUCUGCAGUGGGUACGGGCAGACUAGAGUGCGGUAGGGGAGAUUGGAAUUCCUGGUGUAGCGGUGGAAUGCGCAGAUAUCAGGAGGAACACCGAUGGCGAAGGCAGAUCUCUGGGCCGUAACUGACGCUGAGGAGCGAAAGGGUGGGGAGCAAACAGGCUUAGAUACCCUGGUAGUCCACCCCGUAAACGUUGGGAACUAGUUGUGGGGUCCAUUCCACGGAUUCCGUGACGCAGCUAACGCAUUAAGUUCCCCGCCUGGGGAGUACGGCCGCAAGGCUAAAACUCAAAGGAAUUGACGGGGACCCGCACAAGCGGCGGAGCAUGCGGAUUAAUUCGAUGCAACGCGAAGAACCUUACCAAGGCUUGACAUAUACGAGAACGCUGCAGAAAUGUAGAACUCUUUGGACACUCGUAAACAGGUGGUGCAUGGUUGUCGUCAGCUCGUGUCGUGAGAUGUUGGGUUAAGUCCCGCAACGAGCGCAACCCUCGUUCUAUGUUGCCAGCACGUAAUGGUGGGAACUCAUGGGAUACUGCCGGGGUCAACUCGGAGGAAGGUGGGGAUGACGUCAAAUCAUCAUGCCCCUUAUGUCUUGGGCUUCACGCAUGCUACAAUGGCCGGUACAAAGGGCUGCAAUACCGUGAGGUGGAGCGAAUCCCAAAAAGCCGGUCCCAGUUCGGAUUGAGGUCUGCAACUCGACCUCAUGAAGUCGGAGUCGCUAGUAAUCGCAGAUCAGCAACGCUGCGGUGAAUACGUUCCCGGGUCUUGUACACACCGCCCGUCAAGUCAUGAAAGUCGGUAACACCUGAAGCCGGUGGCCCAACCCUUGUGGAGGGAGCCGUCGAAGGUGGGAUCGGUAAUUAGGACUAAGUCGUAACAAGGUAGCCGUACCGGAAGGUGCGGCUGGAUCACCUCCUUU
This 1525-nucleotide ribosomal RNA is filed under the name Microbacterium laevaniformans. Its description in RNAcentral is "bacterial SSU rRNA". It matches the Rfam family "Bacterial small subunit ribosomal RNA". Lineage: Bacteria; Bacillati; Actinomycetota; Actinomycetes; Micrococcales; Microbacteriaceae. The record is from RNAcentral.